Molecule: ribosomal RNA, 686 nt
Filed under: uncultured bacterium
Lineage: Bacteria
Description: bacterial SSU rRNA
Rfam family: Bacterial small subunit ribosomal RNA
Source: RNAcentral
GGAUAACGUUUGGAAACGAACGCUAAUACCGCAUAAAAUAUCGGAGUCGCAUGGCACUGAUAUCAAAGGAGCAAUCCGCUGAAAGAUGGGCUCGCGUCCGAUUAGGCAGUUGGCGGGGUAACGGCCCACCAAACCGACAAUCGGUAGCCGGACUGAGAGGUUGAACGGCCACAUUGGGACUGAGACACGGCCCAGACUCCUACGGGAGGCAGCAGUGGGGGAUAUUGCACAAUGGGGGAAACCCUGAUGCAGCGAUGCCGCGUGAAUGAAGACGGCCUUCGGGUUGUAAAGUUCUGUCGCGGGGGACGAAAAUGACGGUACCCUGCAAGAAAGCUCCGGCUAACUACGUGCCAGCAGCCGCGGUAAUACGUAGGGAGCAAGCGUUGUCCGGAAUUACUGGGUGUAAAGGGAGCGUAGGCGGGAGGAUAAGUUGAAUGUGAAAUCUAUGGGCUCAACCCAUAGCUGCGUUCAAAACUGUUCUUCUUGAGUGAAGUAGAGGCAGGCGGAAUUCCUAGUGUAGCGGUGAAAUGCGUAGAUAUUAGGAGGAACACCAGUGGCGAAGGCGGCCUGCUGGGCUUUUACUGACGCUGAGGCUCGAAAGCGUGGGUAGCAAACAGGAUUAGAUACCCUGGUAGUCCACGCGGUAAACGAUGAUUACUAGGUGUGGGUGGACUGACCCCAUCCGU